GUGGGGAAUAUUGCGCAAUGGGCGAAAGCCUGACGCAGCAACGCCGCGUGGGUGAUGAAGGCCUUCGGGUCGUAAAGCCCUGUCGGGUGGGAAGAACCCUCCUCGCAAGGGGAGCUGACGGUACCACCAAAGGAAGCACCGGCUAACUCCGUGCCAGCAGCCGCGGUAAUACGGAGGGUGCAAGCGUUGUUCGGAAUCACUGGGCGUAAAGGGCGCGUAGGCGGCUCACUCAGUCCGAUGUGAAAGCCCGGGGCUCAACUCCGGAAGUGCAUUGGAAACUGGUGGGCUUGAGUUCGGGAGAGGAGGGCAGAAUUCCCGGUGUAGGGUUGAAAUCCGUAGAUAUCGGGAGGAAAACCGGUGGCGAAGGCGGCCCUCUGGAACGAAACUGACGCUGAGGCGCGAAAGCGUGGGGAGCAAACAGGAUUAGAAACCCCUGUAGUCC
RNAcentral lists this ribosomal RNA (442 nucleotides) under uncultured bacterium. RNAcentral describes it as "bacterial SSU rRNA". It matches the Rfam family "Bacterial small subunit ribosomal RNA", at positions 354 to 796 of the family's 1533-position model. The record is from RNAcentral.